GAUGAACGCUGGCGGCGUGCCUAAUACAUGCAAGUAGAACGCUGAAGGAGGAGCUUGCUCUUCUGGAUGAGUUGUGAACGGGUGAGUAACGCGUAGGUAACCUGCCUGGUAGCGGGGGAUAACUAUUGGAAACGAUAGCUAAUACCGCAUGACAACGGUUAUUGCAUGAUAACUGUUUAAAAGGGGCAACUGCUCCACUACCAGAUGGACCUGCGUUGUAUUAGCUAGUUGGUGAGGUAACGGCUCACCAAGGCGACGAUACAUAGCCGACCUGAGAGGGUGAUCGGCCACACUGGGACUGAGACACGGCCCAGACUCCUACGGGAGGCAGCAGUAGGGAAUCUUCGGCAAUGGACGGAAGUCUGACCGAGCAACACCGCGUGAGUGAAGAAGGUUGUCGGAUCGUAAAGCUCUGUUGUAAGAGAAGAACGAGUGUGAGAGUGGAAAGUUCACACUGUGACGGUAUCUUACCAGAAAGGGACGGCUAACUACGUG
Molecule: ribosomal RNA, 495 nt
Filed under: uncultured bacterium
Lineage: Bacteria
Description: partial 16S ribosomal RNA
Rfam family: Bacterial small subunit ribosomal RNA
Source: RNAcentral